Molecule: ribosomal RNA, 460 nt
Filed under: uncultured bacterium
Lineage: Bacteria
Description: partial 16S ribosomal RNA
Rfam family: Bacterial small subunit ribosomal RNA
Source: RNAcentral
CCUACGGGUGGCAGCAGUGAGGAAUAUUGGUCAAUGGACGAGAGUCUGAACCAGCCAAGUAGCGUGAAGGAUGACUGCCCUAUGGGUUGUAAACUUCUUUUAUAUGGGAAUAAAACAGGGUAGGCAUACCUUCUUGUAUGUACUAUAUGAAUAAGGAUCGGCUAACUCCGUGCCAGCAGCCGCGGUAAUACGGAGGAUCCGAGCGUUAUCCGGAUUUAUUGGGUUUAAAGGGGGCGUAGGUGGGUUGUUAAGGCCGUUGAGAAAGUUUGCGGCUAAACCGUAAAAUUGCAAUUGAUACUGGCAGUCUUGAGUACAGUAGAGGUGGGCGGAAGUCGUGGUGUAGCGGUGAAAUGCUUAGAUAUCACGAAGAACUCCGAUUGCGAAGGCAGCUCACUAGACUGCAACUGACACUGAUGCUCGAAAGUGUGGGUAUCAAACAGGAGUAGAUACCCUAGUAGUC